Apis dorsata (giant honeybee) is the source of this 1091-nucleotide RNA transcript. It is a transcript of the gene named probable DNA replication complex GINS protein PSF2, with no coding region annotated. The transcript has 6 exons. The record is from RefSeq and is a predicted model, not a curated record. Lineage: Eukaryota; Metazoa; Arthropoda; Insecta; Hymenoptera; Apidae.
UCGCAUGCGUCGUAAGUUAUGUAGUGAGAAUAUAUUAAAAUUAUUGUAGUAAACUUUGUUUAUUAUAAAAAAUAAAUAUUAAAUAAUGGAUCCAAGUGAAGUAGAAUUUCUUGGUGAAAAAGAAUUAGUCACUAUUGUACCCAAUUUUAGUUUUGACACAAUUCAUUUGAUUUCUGGCUCGGUAGGUCCUUUUCGAGCUGGUUUACCUGUCAAAAUUCCGAUUUGGUUGGCUGUAAAUUUAAAACAACAGCAAAAGUGUCGAAUUAUUAAUCAAGAGUGGAUGGAUGCCGAAAGUUUAAAUGAAGCGAAGGAAGAAGAAAAAUUAUCAAAAUUAUUUACAAAAAUGCCUAGUAAUCAUUAUAUGGAUGAAACGCAACUUUUAUUAAGUGCUGCAAGUGAUGAUAUACACGAAGCAGAUAAAAUAAGAACAGCAGUGAAAGAUUUGUGGGAUAUAAGAAUGUCAAAGCUUCGUACAUCUAUAGAUGCAUUCCUCAAAAGUGAUGGAAUGCAUGCAAAAUUAGAUCAUUUAACUGCUAUGGAAAUCAAUAGUGUGCGCCCGUUACUUCCACAUGCUCUUGAUCAAAUGAUGAGAAUUCAAACUAUUGGAAAAUCAACACAACUUCAACAACAUUUAAAUAAGAUCCUGGAAAUUCUGCAACACACAAAGAGAACAACGAUCUUAUCCAUUGUUUCCUCCAAUUUCCAAUGCAAAUAGCCAUCUUUCCGCUCAAAAAAUUACAGUCUAUCAAAUCGUUUCGACUCGACUCGACGAAGCGAAAGUAGAUCAAUUAACGAAACUUUACAAAAUCAUGACAAUUUCGUGUUUGUUCCUGAGAAACAGAGGAACGAUGGAUCGUGGAAUAAUCAUCUUCAAUAUUUUUGAAUCUGAACGAGUGGAUCGUCGAACUGUUUUGGUGUUCAUCCAACGAAGAACGUGGGUAGCGAUUAAUUGGGUAACAGGUAGUUGUUACCAGGCACUCCUAUCUACGAGUGUGCACCUCUCAUGCCCAAUAAACAAGUCGUUUGACAUUCCAUCCACUGGUGAAAUAUGGAAUUCUUCAGAUAUGCGGUUUCGUACGAAAUCUUUUCCU